CGAACUGGUGAGUAACACGUGGGGAAUCUGCCCAGAAGCAGGGGAUAACACUUGGAAACAGGUGCUAAUACCGUAUAACAACAAAAUCCGCAUGGAUUUUGUUUGAAAGGUGGCUUCGGCUAUCACUUCUGGAUGAUCCCGCGGCGUAUUAGUUAGUUGGUGAGGUAAAGGCCCACCAAGACGAUGAUACGUAGCCGACCUGAGAGGGUAAUCGGCCACAUUGGGACUGAGACACGGCCCAAACUCCUACGGGAGGCAGCAGUAGGGAAUCUUCCACAAUGGACGAAAGUCUGAUGGAGCAAUGCCGCGUGAGUGAAGAAGGGUUUCGGCUCGUAAAACUCUGUUGUUAAAGAAGAACACCUUUGAGAGUAACUGUUCAAGGGUUGACGGUAUUUAACCAGAAAGCCACGGCUAACUACGUGCCAGCAGCCGCGGUAAUACGUAGGUGGCAAGCGUUGUCCGGAUUUAUUGGGCGUAAAGCGAGCGCAGGCGGUUUUUUAAGUCUGAUGUGAAAGCCUUCGGCUUAACCGGAGAAGUGCAUCGGAAACUGGGAGACUUGAGUGCAGAAGAGGACAGUGGAACUCCAUGUGUAGCGGUGGAAUGCGUAGAUAUAUGGAAGAACACCAGUGGCGAAGGCGGCUGUCUAGUCUGUAACUGACGCUGAGGCUCGAAAGCAUGGGUAGCGAACAGGAUUAGAUAC
This 700-nucleotide ribosomal RNA is filed under the name Levilactobacillus brevis. RNAcentral describes it as "bacterial SSU rRNA". It matches the Rfam family "Bacterial small subunit ribosomal RNA", at positions 99 to 785 of the family's 1533-position model. The record is from RNAcentral. Lineage: Bacteria; Bacillati; Bacillota; Bacilli; Lactobacillales; Lactobacillaceae.